GCAGACCCAUCGCUCAGCCUUUGUUUCCAAGAACAGCUCUUAUUCCUUAGCUUUCCUGGCAGGGAAGCUAAACACCAAGGUGCAGAGAAGUCAGAGCUGCAGUGACACAAUUCAGGACAGAGUGAGGAGCAGGCUCAGGACAGCUCCACCCAGCAGAGCCAAGAUCACAACUAUAACUCCAGGCUCCACCCCCAUCAUUGGUGUUCUCUUGUCUACUCAGAACAGCCGCUGCUUGAGGUGGGGCAGAAAUUGCAGCAGGAGGAAGAGGGCCAGCAGCUGGCUCUGCAGUCACAGCGCAUGUUUGACAGUGAGAGGCGGACUAUGAGCCGGCGAAAAGGCAGCGUGGAUCAAUAUCUCUUGAGGUCCAGCAGCUUGGCUGGGGCCAAGUAGCACUUAAUGUACAAAGUAAU
RNAcentral lists this long non-coding RNA (410 nucleotides) under Rattus norvegicus (Norway rat). Its description in RNAcentral is "long non-coding RNA NONRATT002972". The record is from RNAcentral. Lineage: Eukaryota; Metazoa; Chordata; Mammalia; Rodentia; Muridae.